Macrobrachium nipponense is the source of this 1267-nucleotide RNA transcript. It is a transcript of the gene named enoyl-CoA hydratase, mitochondrial-like, with no coding region annotated. Lineage: Eukaryota; Metazoa; Arthropoda; Malacostraca; Decapoda; Palaemonidae. The transcript has 9 exons. The record is from RefSeq and is a predicted model, not a curated record.
ACUACUACACUUAUCGGACCUUGAUCGGAGCGACUUAUUCCGGUUGUUGCGGGGCGCUUGGCUAGAUAAAAUUUGCUUUUGGGGAACGAAGUCCGAACUACGACGCCAUGGCAGCUCUCAUGAAAGGUCGUGUCCUGCAGCUGUGCAGUGUCCUUAGGGAAGGAAGACAUAUUCAGAGUCGCGGAAGGAUUUUUCAGCAGCCGAUUCCCUCCCUCGCUCUCGUCAACGCUAGAUUGAUGUCCAAGGAGUCCACAUAUGAACACAUUUUGGUUGACAAAAAAGGUGAUGGUGGUUGUGUGGGCCUAGUCACUCUGAAUCGCCCAAAGGCUCUCAAUGCUCUGUGUGACCCUUUGAUGAUUGAAUUAAAUGAUGCCCUGAAGACCUUAGAUGCAGAUCCAUCAGUAGCUGCUGUUGUUAUUACUGGUAGUGAAAAAGCCUUUGCUGCAGGUGCAGACAUUAAGCAAAUGGAGAAUAUUGAAUAUGUUGACUGUGUGAAGUCCAAUUUCCUUGCGCAUUGGGACGGCGUAACAAGAAUCCGGAAACCCAUCAUUGCAGCAGUGAAUGGAUACGCUCUGGGUGGUGGCUGUGAAGUCGCUAUGAUGUGUGACAUUAUAUUAGCAGGAGAAAAAGCCAAAUUUGGACAACCAGAAAUUAUCAUUGGCACAAUCCCAGGAGCUGGUGGUUCUCAGCGCCUUGCAAAGGCUAUUGGAAAAUCUCGAGCUAUGCAGAUGUGUCUAACCGGAGAUAUGAUUACGGCACAGCAGGCUAAUGACUGGGGCUUAGUAAGUUCAGUGCACCCUCCAGAUCAGCUUGUAAGUGAAGCUAUCAAAAUUGGAGAAAAAAUUGCAACACAUUCUAAAGUUAUCGUAGGAAUGUGUAAGGAGGCAGUCAACAAAUCUUAUGAAUUGUCACUGAGCGAAGGCCUCAAUUAUGAGAAGAAACUGUUCCAUUCAACUUUUGCUACAAGUGAUCGUGCAGAGGGAAUGAAAGCAUUUGUCCAGAAGAGGAAGCCAGAAUUUACUGACAGCUAAUUUGACUGAACACACAAAAUAUCAGGAUAUAUUUUGCAGAAUACUUCUAUCGCUUCUUGCUGUUCUUGCAGCAACUGAUUCACAGCCCACGAAGUAUCCCAAGGUUUGUUUAGAGGCCAUGGAAAAGUGCAAGAUUUUUCCAAUAGAUUAAGGUAAACGUAUACUAGAAGUAACCAAGAUACAGUUUAAGAAUUUGUAGUAUGCAUAUUCAUUUUAAUAAAGUUGGCAAUUGUUAA